UUGACCUCGGAUCAGGUAGGGAUACCCGCUGAACUUAAGCAUAUCAAUAAGCGGAGGAAAAGAAACCAACAGGGAUUGCCUCAGUAACGGCGAGUGAAGCGGCAAUAGCUCAAAUUUGAAAUCUGGCACCCGCCCGAAUUGUAAUUUGUAGAGGAUGCUUCGGCUUACGUCUCGGUCUAAGUUCCUUGGAACAGGACGUCACAGAGGGUGAGAAUCCCGUUUGUGGCCGUGACUUCCGCCAUGUGAAGCUCCUUCGACGAGUCGAGUUGUUUGGGAAUGCAGCUCUAAAUGGGAGGUAUGUUUCUUCUAAAGCUAAAUACCGGCCAGAGACCGAUAGCGCACAAGUAGAGUGAUCGAAAGAUGAAAAGCACUUUGGAAAGAGAGUCAAACAGUACGUGAAAUUGUUGAAAGGGAAGCGCUUGCAACCAGACUUGCUCGUAGUUGCUCAACCGGUCCUCCGGCCGGUGCACUCUUCUACGGUCAGGCCAGCAU
RNAcentral lists this ribosomal RNA (492 nucleotides) under Berkleasmium concinnum. RNAcentral's name for it is "eukaryotic LSU rRNA". It matches the Rfam family "Eukaryotic large subunit ribosomal RNA", at positions 1 to 502 of the family's 3401-position model. Lineage: Eukaryota; Fungi; Ascomycota; Dothideomycetes; Tubeufiales; Tubeufiaceae. The record is from RNAcentral.